This 478-nucleotide ribosomal RNA is filed under the name uncultured bacterium. Its description in RNAcentral is "bacterial SSU rRNA". It matches the Rfam family "Bacterial small subunit ribosomal RNA", at positions 328 to 793 of the family's 1533-position model. The record is from RNAcentral.
UGACAGUACUCCUACGGGGAGGCAGCAGUGGGGGAAUAGUUGCACAAUGGGCGCAAGCCUGAUGCAGCCAUGCCGCGUGUGUGAAGAAGGCCUUCGGGUUGUAAAGCACUUUCAGUCGUGAGGAAGGUGGUAGUGUUAAUAGCACUAUCAUUUGACGUUAGCGACAGAAGAAGCACCGGCUAACUCCGUGCCAGCAGCCGCGGUAAUACGGAGGGUGCGAGCGUUAAUCGGAAUUACUGGGCGUAAAGCGCAUGCAGGUGGUUUGUUAAGUCAGAUGUGAAAGCCCGGGGCGUCAACCUCGGAAUAGCAUUUGAAACUGGCAGACUAGAGUACUGUAGAGGGGGGUAGGAAUUUCAGGUGUAGCGGUGAAAUGCGUAGAGAUCUGAAGGAAUACCGGUGGCGAAGGCGGCCCCCUGGACAGAUACUGACACUCAGAUGCGAAAGCGUGGGGAGCAAACAGGAUUAGAUACCCUGGUAG